AGUCGAGCGGCAGCACGGGAGCUUGCUCCUGGUGGCGAGCGGCGGACGGGUGAGUAAUGCCUAGGAAUCUGCCUGGUAGUGGGGGAUAACGUUCGGAAACGGACGCUAAUACCGCAUACGUCCUACGGGAGAAAGUGGGGGAUCUUCGGACCUCACGCUAUCAGAUGAGCCUAGGUCGGAUUAGCUAGUUGGUGAGGUAAUGGCUCACCAAGGCGACGAUCCGUAACUGGUCUGAGAGGAUGAUCAGUCACACUGGAACUGAGACACGGUCCAGACUCCUACGGGAGGCAGCAGUGGGGAAUAUUGGACAAUGGGCGAAAGCCUGAUCCAGCCAUGCCGCGUGUGUGAAGAAGGUCUUCGGAUUGUAAAGCACUUUAAGUUGGGAGGAAGGGUUGUAGAUUAAUACUCUGCAAUUUUGACGUUACCGACAGAAUAAGCACCGGCUAACUUCGUGCCAGCAGCCGCGGUAAUACGAAGGGUGCAAGCGUUAAUCGGAAUUACUGGGCGUAAAGCGCGCGUAGGUGGUUCAGCAAGUUGGAUGUGAAAUCCCCGGGCUCAACCUGGGAACUGCAUCCAAAACUACUGAGCUAGAGUACGGUAGAGGGUGGUGGAAUUUCCUGUGUAGCGGUGAAAUGCGUAGAUAUAGGAAGGAACACCAGUGGCGAAGGCGACCACCUGGACUGAUACUGACACUGAGGUGCGAAAGCGUGGGGAGCAAACAGGAUUAGAUACCCUGGUAGUCCACGCCGUAAACGAUGUCGACUAGCCGUUGGGAUCCUUG
RNAcentral lists this ribosomal RNA (781 nucleotides) under bacterium 20-L049660-122-017-D03. Its description in RNAcentral is "bacterial SSU rRNA". It matches the Rfam family "Bacterial small subunit ribosomal RNA", at positions 60 to 834 of the family's 1533-position model. The record is from RNAcentral.